This 253-nucleotide ribosomal RNA is filed under the name uncultured bacterium. Its description in RNAcentral is "partial 16S ribosomal RNA". It matches the Rfam family "Bacterial small subunit ribosomal RNA", at positions 524 to 776 of the family's 1533-position model. The record is from RNAcentral.
UACGUAGGGUGCGAGCGUUGUCCGGAAUUAUUGGGCGUAAAGAGCUUGUAGGCGGUUUGUCGCGUCUGCUGUGAAAUUUCGGGGCUCAACCCCGAACUUGCAGUGGGUACGGGCAGACUAGAGUGUGGUAGGGGAGACUGGAAUUCCUGGUGUAGCGGUGAAAUGCGCAGAUAUCAGGAGGAACACCGAUGGCGAAGGCAGGUCUCUGGGCCACUACUGACGCUGAGAAGCGAAAGCCAGGGGAGCAAACGGG